This 1431-nucleotide long non-coding RNA is filed under the name Nicotiana benthamiana. Its description in RNAcentral is "long non-coding RNA (NBEN_LNC011227)". Lineage: Eukaryota; Viridiplantae; Streptophyta; Magnoliopsida; Solanales; Solanaceae. The record is from RNAcentral.
UGAGAUGUAACUGCUACUUCAUCUACCUGGAGAAUGAACCCUUUCCACAUGAUGACGAUGCCUCCAGAAUGGCUUAUUGUUGGGAACUGGAUAUGUAGAUCAUAUUGUAGUUCCUCCAUGAGCUUCUUGUGAUCUUCCAUCUUGGUUUCCAACAAAACUAGCAUUGUCGGUUUGUGCAUCUUUAUAAUUUCUGAACAGUGUCUUCUGAAUCCGCAUUGUUUGCCCCCUAACAUUCCAUAUAAUGAAAUUCAUUAGGGGGUGUGGGUUUUUGUGGGAGUUCAUGUCGGUGCCUUGUCUCUUACUUGGGCUGGCAUCACAUCAUUCCUCCUAGUUAAUGUUAUAUGGGCUCUCAUCACUGGAGUUAAGGUCAAGAGUGGUUUCAGCAGUCCACAUCUUGCAAGAGUAUUUGGACAAGGUAGGAUCAUGUUCUUGCUGUAAUCCACACUGAAUUCCACUGCUCUUACUACCUCUAGCCAUAAGAAAUCCGUUCUCGUUGGGCUGUAAGGGUUUUAAGGCUACUUCUCCUUGGACAUUUCUUGUCUUUUCAAUAUCUCAAGGGCUUUGGUUAUCUCCUUCGAGAUGUUUCCCGGUGGUGGUAAGUGUUGUUUCUCUUGCAUUGAAUAAGAAGGGUCAUGUUGGGGCCAUAAUGUUGUAGGACUGUGAACUGGGUGCCUCAUAUAGGUCUAGUGCUACUGCGUAUGGGAAGGACAAGAUGGUGUUGAAGAUCACCUGCAUCAUGUAAUGGACUGAAGGUGAAUCGGUUGUUGGAUGAAUAUGGUUAAGGUUGCUAUGUAGAACUAUUAAUUGCCAUAGCUGGGCUCCAAAUAUCAUCAAACCCUUAUUUAAGGCUUCUAAUGUGACUCUUGCCGGAUAGGCAAGAUUUUGGAAGAUGAGCGAUAUUCACUCGAUUCCUAGCAGAAAAUUGUAGCACAGUGCCUGGCCAUGGAGAGCAACCUCGAGCCAGGACGCCGACGUAUAGUCCUAUGGUAGUGGGGUGGAGGUCAAAAUAAUUGGGGUUUGGAAGACAAGUCCAUUUUUGAUAUUUUUUGUGUAUCAUUUUUUGGGCUACUAUUAAUACGGGGGUUAUUGGGGGUAAUCGAGGGACAUGGCUAAUAAUGAGAUUGAAUCAGUACCAGUGGUUGGAGUUUCGUAAACUGUGUCUAAUAUGUUAGUUUUUAAAUUAAAUGAAUAGUCAGUUGAGUUGAUGGAUAUUGUCAAAUCACUUAAGAUUUUGGAAUUGAUCUAAAACGGCACCUCAGUAUCCAAGGAGGGGUUUUCUAUAGAGUGUGUUAGUAGCGGUGGUGUAGCAUGGUAGGGGCCAUUAUUGGUAAUGUAGGCGGUGGAAAAGGCUGGGUCUUCUAAGGUGACAUUGGGUUUGGGGUUGGUGUGGGCCUCCCCCUGAAUUGUUGCCAGGCUCUCACUUGGGAUUUU